UUCGACUAAGCCAUGCGAGUCGAGAGGGUUCGGCCCUCGGCAGACGGCUCAGUAACACGUGGAUAAUCUGCCCUUAGGUGGAGGAUAAUCUCGGGAAACUGAGAAUAAUACUCCAUAGAUCUAGGAUGCUGGAAUGCACUUAGAUUGAAAGUUCCGACGCCUAUGGAUGAGUCUGCGGACUAUCAGGUAGUAGUCAGGGUAAAGACCUGACUAGCCUACAACGGAUACGGGUUGUGAGAGCAAUAACCCGGAGACGAUAUCUGAGACACGAUAUCGGGCCCUACGGGGCGCAGCAGGCGCGAAACCUUCACAAUGUGCGAAAGCACGAUGAGGGAAUCCCAAGUGCUUGCUCGUAAGAGUAAGCUGUUUUUAUGUCUAAAAAGCAUAGAGAGUAAGGGCUGGGUAAGACGGGUGCCAGCCGCCGCGGUAAUACCUGCAGCUCAAGUGGUGACCGCUAUUAUUGGGCCUAAAACGUUCGUAGCCGGUUUGGUAAAUGCCUGGGUAAAUCGAGUAGCUUAACUAUACGAAUUCCGGGUAGACUGCCAAACUUGAGACCGGGAGAAGCUAGAGGUACUCCUGGGGUAGAGGUGAAAUUCUGUAAUCCUGGGGGGACCACCAGUGGCGAAGGCGUCAGACUGGAACGUGCCUGACGGUGAGGGACGAAAGCCAGGGGAGCGAACCGGAUUAGAUACCCGGGUAGUCC
This 703-nucleotide ribosomal RNA is filed under the name uncultured archaeon. RNAcentral's name for it is "bacterial SSU rRNA". It matches the Rfam family "Archaeal small subunit ribosomal RNA", at positions 39 to 747 of the family's 1478-position model. The record is from RNAcentral.